This 257-nucleotide ribosomal RNA is filed under the name uncultured soil bacterium. RNAcentral's name for it is "partial 16S ribosomal RNA". It matches the Rfam family "Bacterial small subunit ribosomal RNA", at positions 26 to 284 of the family's 1533-position model. The record is from RNAcentral.
AGGACGAACGCUGGUGGCGUGCUUAACACAUGCAAGUCGAACGGUGAAGCCCAGCUUGCUGGGUGGAUCAGUGGCGAACGGGUGAGUAACACGUGAGCAACCUGCCCCCUACUUCGGGAUAAGCCUUGGAAACGAGGUCUAAUACCGGAUAUGAGCACUUACCGCAUGGUGGGUGUUGGAAAGUUUUUCGGUGGGGGAUGGGCUCGCGGCCUAUCAGCUUGUUGGUGGGGUAAUGGCCUACCAAGGCGUCGACGGGU